GGUGGAGAUGGAGGAGGAUGAUUGUAGCGGAGGUUUGGGUGGCUUGAAAUAGGGGGUUUGAGCGUUGCCGAAACAGUGGAGGCUCCCCCGCGUUUUGAGGUUGAGCCGAGGUAGAGAAAGAAGUAUGAAUGGGGCUGAAGGAGGUUGAAGCAGCGACCAAGAUGGGGCUGGUGAAGAUGGAGGUGGAGAUUGUGUUGUUAGAGAAAUAAUGGAGGUGGAGAUGGAGGUGGUGGUUAUGGAGGAGGCAGACG
This 251-nucleotide long non-coding RNA is filed under the name Daucus carota (carrot). RNAcentral describes it as "long non-coding RNA (DCAR_LNC001825)". The record is from RNAcentral. Lineage: Eukaryota; Viridiplantae; Streptophyta; Magnoliopsida; Apiales; Apiaceae.